This 6376-nucleotide unclassified non-coding RNA is filed under the name Daphnia pulex (common water flea). RNAcentral describes it as "mAP kinase-activating death domain protein-like, transcript variant X2". Lineage: Eukaryota; Metazoa; Arthropoda; Branchiopoda; Diplostraca; Daphniidae. The record is from RNAcentral.
GCGCCUGCGCAAAAAGCCCGUCCUGUUUGGUCCCCAUAAAGAAAAGUAAACGACUGAGCAGGUUGCAGUCUUCAACGAGCCAGACGUGAAUCGGAUUCGACAUUCGUCACAAUUGUAGACACACAAAUCUUGUCCCAUUUAGCAAAUCAAAAUCUUGCCAUCACUUGAAACAUCUCACGGGAAAUGGGAGCCAUCAAACCAAGGUAAUCGAUAGUCGACGCCGAAGGAGCUGCGCCACUUGCGCGACUUUUUUGCAGCCUCCUGCAAAUAAGUGAACAGAGGAAGGGUGAAAAGAAAUAUCAAGUAGAGCGGAAGAAGGAUCGUGAGAGGAAUGGCGUCAUCGGGCGGAGGAAGUGGUGGUUGCGACGCCACCAAGAAAUACUUUUGCCCGCGAUUGAUCGACUAUUUGGCCAUCGUUGGAUCACGUCGCCCGGCUGGCUACUCGACUGGCUCCCGCAGUAAAGCUCCUCCUCCUUCUGGCCCUAUUGGGUCAACAAAUCCAUUAAGUGGAACUGUUGUUCACGGGGGAGCUGGGCACGCCGUGACACCGGAGCUUUUACGUCGCUACCCGAUCGAUGAUCAUGCCGAUUUCCCGCUACCGCUCGAUAUGGUUUAUUUCUGCCAACCAGAAGGUUGUCUCUCAUUGGGCAAUCGACGGCCCGGAGACCAUCGGCGUGAUAUUGAUUCGUUCGUCUUCACUCUGACCGAUAAGGAUUCCGGGAAAACGAGAUACGGCGUCUGCAUCAACUUCUUCCGGCCAGUCGAACGGCUUCCGUCGAACGCAUCCGUGUCAUCAAGACGCGAUUCGUGGAGGGAUUCCAUUCACCGAAGUUCCGACUCCGCCUUUUCUAGCGAUCAAAGGAGUACAAUGGCGCCAAGCGAUUCGGAUCGUGACUGCUCCAGUGCACAUCGCUAUCAUCCGGCUGAUCCAGCUUCUGGUGUUAAAUGGCCCUAUCCUUCAUCCGGAAUGACGGGUGUUAAUCAAGACUCGGAGAGCGGAGGAUCUCAACCGCCUUCGCCUAGAGCCAGUCGUAGGAAACAGCGAUCACGAAAUCAAUACUUGACUUCAAUCUGCCUCCUAUCUCACCACCCUUUCUUCACCCUGUUCCGCGAGUGCCUUGUCGUUCUCAAGAAACUUAUCGACGCAUGUCACGAAAACGCAUCCCCCAAGCGACUAGGAGCUUCUCGGCUGACUUCAAGGGAUUCGGUGUGGGGAUUGUUAACGGGCCAAACAACGGAGACGGCCUCGUCUAUAGUUCUCCAUGACGUUCGUGACAUCGAGACGUGGAUCCUUCGUCUACUCAGCGCUCCGGUGCCCAUUCCGGGCAAAACUCGAGUCGAACUCGAGAUUUUGCCACGUUCACUGCAACCUACGCCUUUGGUGUUCGCCCUGCCCGACCACACCCGUUUCCCCAUGGUCGAUUUCCCGUUGCAUCUGCCAUUAGAGUUGCUGGGCGUUGAUACUUGUCUCAAGGUGCUCUCCCUUAUCAUGCUAGAGCACAAGGUAAUCAUGCAAUCACGCGAUUACAACGCUCUCUCCAUGUCCGUGCUGGCCUUUGUUACCAUGCUCUACCCGCUCGAGUACAUGUUUCCCGUCAUCCCGCUCCUGCCCACUUGCAUGAGCUGCGCCGAGCAGCUCCUGUUAGCUCCUACGCCUUACAUCAUCGGCAUUUCGGGAUCGUUCUUCCAGCACAAGAAACAUUUCAAAUUGCCGGACGAUGUUUGGCUCAUCGAUCUCGACUCGAAUCGCAUCAGCGUGCCGUCAAGGGCCGAUGAAGUACCAUCGUUACCUGAGCCGGAAUGUAGCAUACUACGCAAUCACCUACGUCAGGCGUUGGCCAGCAUGAGUGGAGAGGUGGUCCUUCCUAGGGUAGAUCAUCCCCAACAACAACAGCAACAUCAGCAGCAGCGUGGAAGUCACGAUUUCUCAUCCGAGAUGGGUCAUGGACAUUUCAGUCCAUUCAUUUAUGGCAACGAUGUCGAUUCGGUCGAUAUUGCCACUAGAGUGGCCAUGGUCCGUUUCUUCAACUCGCAGAAUUUGCUGGCCAAUUUCGCCGAACACACUAGGACACUUAGGCUGUAUCCACGACCCGUUGUGGCUUUCCAGAUCAACAGUUUUCUCAGGUCGAGACCCAGAGCUGGACCCUAUCUCCACAAAUUUGCUAGGACUCAGGCCGUUGAAUUCCUGGCGGAGUGGAGUCUGUCGCCGACCAACGUGGCCUUUUUACGUGUCCAGACGGGCGUUUUCGAUCCGGCCAUUAUCGGAGACAAACACAAAUGGUUCAGCGAUCAAUACGAGCCACUGCAAUUCGCCGUUUGGGACGAGGCCAGCUCAAUGGACAGCGCUCUUCGCUCUCUAGGCAAACACGAUCAAAUUCAAACCGAUGAGAGUGGCUCAGAUUCAGAAGGCGGGGGUAGUUCCAGUUCGUCCUACUCUUCACUGAGCGAUCUGGUAUCCGAACAACGAACGCCGGAUGCGUCACCUGGUCCUGGACUUCAAGCGGUUCCGAUGACGUUGUCUAGUGGACUUGAUCUCAAAUCGAUUUACCGACCUCCAUCAACCCUGCAACUCCCUGGUGGAGGAUCCGGGCUAGAAAUGAACGAAUCAGCUUUCUCCCAACCAGAGUCAAUGUCUUCAUCUUCCUCACAAAGUUCCAUCGGAUCAUCUCACGGCAUUCAAACGGAAUUGGCUGCCGAAAGUGACAUCAUCAUCACUAAACCCCGCAACAUUUCAGAGGAUAAAACCGAUGACGUGUUUAACGCCUCUGAUUCGGAGACUGUGGUGCCCAGCAUCAGCCAGGAUUCGCCUACCCAAAGGAACGUAUCGAUUGAUAGUGCUCCGCCAUUGGAAAAUGAAGUUGUCCCUGCAAAAAUAGUAACUAGGCCGUCUAGCAUAAGUGUGAUGACUGAUCGUUCGAUGAGUACGGGAUCCAGCGGCUCCAACAAUUCGGCCCAUCGACAGAGUAGUCAAACUUCGUUAUUUGAACAGUUGGCGACUCAAGCCAAAGAUUUAGUCCGGGAGAGCACUAGACAAAGCAGCCAGGAAAAACUAUUGGCUCAAAUGGACAAAUUCCGGAUCCAAGCCAAAGAGAAGAUCUCAGAUGCUGCUAGACAAACAAGCGAAGAUGGUUUCUUCAAUCCAUCCACCUUGGAGCAGUUUACCGCUGGAGCUAGACGGGCUGCGGAGGAAGCUAGUCGAAGUGUUCAAGAAGCAUCACGAACCCUAAAAGAAGCUUCGGAAGACAUUACGGCCGUUAGUAAAAAUACCAUCGGAGAUUUCACCAAGAGCGCUAAACACGCUGCUGCCAAAGGCGGAUUGCUCAAGGCACUGGGCAGUUCUCGGGAGUCGUCUAGCAGUCUUCCAGUCGGAUUACGUUCAUUGGGUUCGUUAGGUUCGCUGGGAUCACGAAGUUCCGUCACGCUCGCCGAGCCUCCACUGGCCCAGCAGCAGCAGGAGAUCCAGCAGCAACAGUCGCAAUCAGUCAUGAGCCACUCGAGUCACCAGGGAAAACUCGUUCGCAGUGAUAGUGUCAGCAGUCAGCGGGAUGGUUUAUCGGGCGGACGUGAUUUCCUUUCCAGCGUCAGUAGCGAACUGAAUGGAUUAGCAGCUCAAACGACGAGCAUGUUCAGCGGAUUGUUUGGCUCAAAAGGUUCCAAAAUGGGACAGCCAAAUUCUCCACAGCCUUUCCGUCUACACCCGAAUGCAGAAUCUGCUCAACGAGCAAAAGAACGACAACCACCGUUCGGUCCAUUCCCUAGAACUAGUAGACGCGGUUUAGUAGAGAAAUCAUCUUUGAUUCGACAUACUUCUUCAGCCAAGACCAAACGACCUGACAAUUCCCAGCCAUCGCAGAUUAGCGAUCGAUCAGCCAACGCUAUCGAUAGUCAGACACUUCUCAAAGAUGCGGUCAAUCAAGUGAUAGAGGGCGAAGGUGUCGGAUGGCUAAAGUUGAAUCGCAUCCGCAAAUUGAUGGAAGAUGAAAACUAUCGAAACCUUGUGGUCAGUCGACUUAAUAAGACGUUAGAUCAAAAGAUUGGUCCCGAUGAACACAUCGACGAUGUGUGCGUUUCUCGGGCUGUGUGGAAAGGAAUGUUGAAAAUGUUGAUAGCUGUCACUGCAGGGCUGGAACAAACUUACAUCAAUCACGGCUCAGGUGGAAUGGCUUCAUCUUUCCAGCUGCUGGAAAUCGCUCACACCCAUUACUGGACGAAAGAUAUCAGUGAUGGCAAGUUUUCGGAUUUUGCAUCGACUAGCCUCAGCACAGCUCAGCCUUCACUGCGCGGGAGUCCGAUGGGCAGUCGGGAGAAUUUACCUUCACCUCACAGUCCACGUACGAGUGUUUUGGCAACCGAAUCGGACAGAAGUUACAGCAAUUCGCCGGAAUUGGCUGGAACGCCAGUUCCAUCUCGAAUGUCACGAAGCGAUGCUUCUAGUCCUGAACCGGGUAAUCCCGACAUUCUUCGAGAGUUAUUGGAACGCAAACGCAAUCUCAUGAUGUUAUCUCUACAAGGAGAAUCCCAAGCUAGCGUGAUAAGUGGUGACGGUCAAGGAUCGUGCAGUGCUUCAGAAGCUGGCAGCAUUAUUACGAAUCCAGCUUUCUAUCGUCAGAAACUAUCACAUCAAUCCUUUCGGAGCACCAUGUCGGAUGGAGAACCGGAUCAGCAACAGGUUGUCCGGGGCUUCGUUCGGCAGAAUGCAGCCGGAUGGUCAUCAAAGUCUUCGAUAACGACCGGUUUUCGCUAUCACGCUGGUAACAUGGUCACCACGGCUGGAACUCCUAGUCCUGAAUCUGUGAGGAUGUACAUUUUCGAGGGUCUUCUCGGGAAGGACAGAUCCAGUCUGUGGGAUCAAAGUCAAUUUUGGGAGGAUGCUUUCCUUGAUGCAGUCUCGCAAGAAAGAGAUCUAGUGGGCAUGGAUCAAGGACCCGGAGAAAUGAUGGAAAGGUACAAGUCACUGAGUGAAACGGAAAGAAAAAGACUGGAACACGAAGAGGAUAGACUGCUUUCAACAUUGCUGUACAAUUUAGUGGCUUUCAUGGUCAUGGUCGACGUGGACAAAACGGAAUUGAAACGCAAAGUCCGUCGAUUGCUAGGCAAAUCUCACAUAGGAUUGGCUUACAGCCACGAAGUUCACCAGCUUUUAGAUCAAGUCGAACAUUUGAGAGGCAACGAUAUUGAUUUGAAGCCAUUCGCUUCACGUCAAAUGCACAGGCACAGUUUUACCGUUCAAGUGGGGACUGAUGCAUCCGGUGAUUUGCGAUUCCUGGAAGUUCGUGACGACGGCCUGAUCCUGCGUGCUGUUAGCGGUGCCAUCAUGGAGCGCUGGUGGUUUGAACGCAUCGUCAACAUGACCUACAGUCCCAAAACUAAAAUCCUCUGCCUUUGGCGACGAAAUGGCGGCCAAACGCAACUUCACAAAUACUACACCAAAAAGUGCAAGGCCUUGUAUUACUGCAUCAAAGAAGCGAUGGAAAGAGCUGCAGCUCGAGGUGCUGGGGCACUGCCCGGCAUGGAACUCGGAGGUGAAUUUCCCAUCCAGGAUUUGCGGACGGGUGAAGGUGGUCUCCUUCAGGUGUGCAUCGAAGGUGUCGGUCUACUCUUCGCCAACAGUAAAGAUUUUGAGUUUUUCGUCCGGCUGGAUUACAUCCGCAAAUGUUUCACCCAAAAAGGCGGAAUCUUCGUUCUGGAAGAAUACAAUCCAAAAACGAGACAAAUACUUCAGCGCCGAUAUCAGUCAGCUAUGGCCAACGAGAUAGCAUUAGCAAUCCAUCGUGUCUUUUCUGUCCGCGUGUCUAUGGCCAUUCAACAGUCUUGUUGAGUGGAUUAAACUUUCAGUUUGAUAAAGACGGUCUGCAAUCCACUUAUUCUGUUUCUUUGUUGUGAUCCGGUCAAAGGCGGAUCAGAUUUGUUACGCUGUUCUCUGCGUGUUUUCUUACGUGGCCGCCGGAAGCGAACAGCGUAAAAAGGUUGAGCCGACUUGAAAGCUCAUCAUCAAUCGACCAAGCAACACACACCGGACAUCACUUGAUUCGCUUGUUACUUUUAGUUGUUGUACUUAAAUGAUUACUCGUUCGUUUUGUCGUACGAGUCGUCGCAAUAAUAAUUAUCUAGUCAUGGUACGGUUCAUCAAGAAAUUUGAACCAACAGCAGUUGACAAAUUUGCGUUCGAACAUUCACUGUUAGUAUUUGUAAUUAAUGAAUAUAAAGUUGUUUUACCCUAUUGAUCAUAUCAUUUGAGCGAUUGUGACUUGCGUGUAGCUAUCGUGACGUGCUUAUCAUUGUUUUCGGGCAAGCCAACGCUAUAGCUUUCAAACUCCGAUUUAGAAGAAAAUAUUUGAAAGAAUGAAUAAUAAUAAACCAAAAUUCACUCAUUGAA